AGAGUUUGAUCCUGGCUCAGAACGAACGCUGGCGGCGUGGAUUAGGCAUGCAAGUCGAACGCGAACGUCACCUUCGGGUGGCUAGUAGAGUGGCGAACGGGUGAGUAACGCGUGAGAAACCUGCCUAGAAGUGGGGGAUAACACUCCCAACGGGGUGCUAAUACCGCAUGUGAUGUGAGUGUCUCCUGGCACACACAGGAAAGAUGGCCUCUGCUUGCAAGCUAUCGCUUCUAGAUGGUCUCGCGUCCGAUUAGCUUGUUGGUGAGGUAACGGCCCACCAAGGCGACGAUCGGUAGCUGGUCUGAGAGGAUGGUCAGCCACACUGGGACUGAGAUACGGCCCAGACUCCUACGGGAGGCAGCAGUCGAGAGGCUUUGUCGAUGGGGGAAACCCUGAACAAGCGACGCCGCGUGGGGGAUGACGGCCUUUGGGUUGUAAACCCCUUUCAGCAGGGACGAAUGUUAUGUGGGUGAAUAAUCCACGUAGUUGACGGUACCCGCAGAAGAAGCUCCGGCUAACUCCGUGCCAGCAGCCGCGGUAAUACGGGGGGAGCGAGCGUUGUUCGGAAUCACUGGGCGUAAAGGGCGUGUAGGCGGUUCGGUAAGUGAGAUGUGAAAGCCCCCGGCUCACCCGGGGAUGUGCAUUUCAUACUGCCGGACUUGAGUGCGGAAGAGGAUGGGGGAAUUCCUGGUGUAGCGGUGAAAUGCGUAGAUAUCAGGAGGAACACCGGUGGCGAAGGCGCCCAUCUGGUCCGUUACUGACGCUGAUGCGCGAAAGCUAGGGGAGCGAACGGGAUUAGAUACCCCGGUAGUCCUAGCCGUAAACGGUGGGCACUAGGUGUUGGAGGCAUCGACCCUUCCAGUGCCGCAGCUAACGCAUUAAGUGCCCCGCCUGGGGAGUACGGUCGCAAGACUGAAACUCAAAGGAAUUGACGGGGGCCCGCACAAGCGGUGGAGCAUGUGGUUCAAUUCGACGCAACGCGAAGAACCUUACCCAGGCUUGACAUGCACUGGACCGGUGUAGAAACACACCUUCCCUUCGGGGCUAGUGCACAGGUGCUGCAUGGCUGUCGUCAGCUCGUGUCGUGAGAUGUUGGGUUAAGUCCCGCAACGAGCGCAACCCUUGCCCUUAGUUGCUAACGAAUAAAGUCGAGCACUCUAGAGGGACUGCCGGCUAAGCCGGAGGAAGGUGGGGACGACGUCAAGUCCCCAUGGCCCUUACGCCUGGGGCUACACACGUGCUACAAUGACCGACACAGAGGGCUGCGAUACCGCGAGGUGGAGCCAAUCCCAAAAAGUCGGCCUCAGUUCGGAUUGCAGUCUGCAACUCGACUGCAUGAAGGUGGAAUCGCUAGUAAUCGCUGAUCAGCAGGCAGCGGUGAAUACGUUCCCGGGCCUUGUACACACCGCCCGUCAAGCCACGAAAGUUGGCAGUACCCGAAGUCGCCGUGGUAACCCGCAAGGGAGCUAGGCGCCUAAGGUAAGGCUAGCGAUUGGGGCUAAGUCGAAACAAGGUA
Molecule: ribosomal RNA, 1516 nt
Filed under: metagenome
Description: bacterial SSU rRNA
Rfam family: Bacterial small subunit ribosomal RNA
Source: RNAcentral